AAAUUGAAGAGUUUGAUCAUGGCUCAGAUUGAACGCUGGCGGCAGGCCUAACACAUGCAAGUCGAACGGUAACAGGAAACAGCUUGCUGUUUCGCUGACGAGUGGCGGACGGGUGAGUAAUGUCUGGGAAACUGCCCGAUGGAGGGGGAUAACUACUGGAAACGGUAGCUAAUACCGCAUAACGUCGCAAGACCAAAGAGGGGGACCUUCGGGCCUCUUGCUAUCGGAUGUGCCCAGAUGGGAUUAGCUAGUAGGUGGGGUAACGGCUCACCUAGGCGACGAUCCCUAGCUGGUCUGAGAGGAUGACCAGCCACACUGGAACUGAGACACGGUCCAGACUCCUACGGGAGGCAGCAGUGGGGAAUAUUGCACAAUGGGCGCAAGCCUGAUGCAGCCAUGCCGCGUGUAUGAAGAAGGCCUUCGGGUUGUAAAGUACUUUCAGCGGGGAGGAAGGGAGUAAAGU
This 463-nucleotide ribosomal RNA is filed under the name Escherichia coli. RNAcentral's name for it is "bacterial SSU rRNA". It matches the Rfam family "Bacterial small subunit ribosomal RNA", at positions 1 to 460 of the family's 1533-position model. RNAcentral also lists the same sequence under 1 other name. Lineage: Bacteria; Pseudomonadati; Pseudomonadota; Gammaproteobacteria; Enterobacterales; Enterobacteriaceae. The record is from RNAcentral.